GAAAAAAUACGGAAGUAUGAAAUCAACUAAAUACCAAGCGAUAAAUACAUCUUUCUGUAAAUAACAUUGCUGCUUGAAAAAUCUAGCUAUAAAGCAAAACUAGCAAUACAGCUACCGACAGUCCUGGCAGACUCUCUGUGCCAGACCUAGAAAACCAAGCAAGAAAACCACUCCACUAUGGACCAACAUGGCUUUCCAAUGCCCGAGUACAGUGAUGGGGACACAGUACUGUGUGGAUAUGAUGAUCCUGGACUCAUUGUGUUCAUUAAAGGUCCCAAUAACCUU
Molecule: long non-coding RNA, 285 nt
Organism: Anguilla anguilla (European eel)
Lineage: Eukaryota; Metazoa; Chordata; Actinopteri; Anguilliformes; Anguillidae
Exons: 2
Source: RefSeq, a predicted model, not a curated record